This 85-nucleotide transfer RNA is filed under the name Felis catus (domestic cat). It matches the Rfam family "tRNA". Rfam says of the family: Transfer RNA (tRNA) molecules are approximately 80 nucleotides in length. Their secondary structure includes four short double-helical elements and three loops (D, anti-codon, and T loops). The record is from Rfam by way of RNAcentral. Lineage: Eukaryota; Metazoa; Chordata; Mammalia; Carnivora; Felidae. RNAcentral also lists the same sequence under 1 other name.
GCCUGGGUGGCUCAGUCGGUUAAGCGUCUGACUUUGGCUCAGGUCAUGAUCUCAUGGUUCGUGAGUCUGAGCCCCACUUCGGGCU